UGGCUCUGGCAUCGAUGAAGAACGCAGCGAAAUGCGAUAAGUAAUGUGAAUUGCAGAAUUCAGUGAAUCAUCGAAUCUUUGAACGCACAUUGCGCCCGCCAGCACUCUGGCGGGCAUGCCUGUUCGAGCGUCAUUUCAACCCUCAGGCCCUGCCUGGCGUUGGGGCGCUGCCGUCCACCAAGCGGCAGGCUCCUAAAGACAGCGGCGGGAGCGCCCGCGACCGAGCGUAGUACAGCACCUCGCUCAGGGAGCACGGCGCCCUCUGGCCGGAAAAGCACCAAUUACAGUGGUUGACCUCGGAUCAGGUAGGAAUACCCGCUGA
RNAcentral lists this unclassified non-coding RNA (322 nucleotides) under uncultured fungus. Its description in RNAcentral is "partial contains 5.8S ribosomal RNA and internal transcribed spacer 2". The stretch from base 1 to 133 matches the Rfam family "5.8S ribosomal RNA", at positions 22 to 154 of the family's 154-position model. The record is from RNAcentral. Lineage: Eukaryota; Fungi.